AGUGAACGCUGGCGGUAGGCCUAACACAUGCAAGUCGAACGGCAGCACAGUAAGAGCUUGCUCUUACGGGUGGCGAGUGGCGGACGGGUGAGGAAUACAUCGGAAUCUACUUUUUCGUGGGGGAUAACGUAGGGAAACUUACGCUAAUACCGCAUACGACCUACGGGUGAAAGCAGGGGAUCUUCGGACCUUGCGCGAUUGAAUGAGCCGAUGUCGGAUUAGCGAGUUGGCGGGGUAAAGGCCCACCAAGGCGACGAUCCGUAGCUGGUCUGAGAGGAUGAGCAGCCACACUGGAACUGAGACACGGUCCAGACUCCUACGGGAGGCAGCAGUGGGGAAUAUUGGACAAUGGGCGCAAGCCUGAUCCAGCCAUACCGCGUGGGUGAAGAAGGCCUUCGGGUUGUAAAGCCCUUUUGUUGGGAAAGAAAAGCAGCAGGUUAAUACCCCGCUGUUCUGACGGUACCCAAAGAAUAAGCACCGGCUAACUUCGUG
Molecule: ribosomal RNA, 492 nt
Filed under: uncultured bacterium
Lineage: Bacteria
Description: partial 16S ribosomal RNA
Rfam family: Bacterial small subunit ribosomal RNA
Source: RNAcentral